CGCUCCUUCCGGGCCAACGACUGUGUAGCUGACGGCCUCCGAUCUAGUCCUAUCCUGGACCUCCUACUCCCGCCGCCACCAACGGCACUGAUAGUGACAGGUCACACAGUUUUGUUGCAUUCUUAUGCCUUAUAUGUUGGCUUGAGAAAACUUCCACUUGGUGCUCUUAGCCUUUCAACUAUGAUGCUUUUAUCAGGAACCUACCAACUUUCAGUAGCAGCCUAGCUACAAGGGGUGUCAUAUAGUUUUGUAUGCAGUAUUUGAUCAACGAUGACUUUGAAGUAGCCCAAAAUAUGCAAUAAAAAGGAUUAAAAGGAUGGUCUUGUUUGUUGCCCAAAGUGUUCUUCACAAAUCCCGUAACACGUGAUAACUCCAGGGGUGAAAAGAACCAGCCUUCGUAAGAAGUGAUCUUCAACAUCUUUGCAUGCAGCUUCAAAUGCUUCUUUGUCAUCAUCUUCCUUCAAUACAGGCUCUUUGUAUUCCAAAAUUUAUUUUUCCAAUAAAGUUAGCGAAAUAUUCUUGUUUUUACUAUCCUUGUAGGUUCUAAACAAUUCAACGUCUUGACCUGUUAUCUCUGCCAAAGUCUUUAUCACCGGUCCUUCAUUGGGUAGGCCCGAAAUACACUUGACAUCCCAAGUUGUUAUGCGGAUUUUUCUGCCUUGGAUUUGUAUGCAUUGGCUUUCAAUGUCAUAUCAGUCAGCAACCCAAACACAACACUUUUGUUGUAUUGUUAUGUGUGGCAUCCAGAGUAAACCAUGAAACCCAAUU
This is a long non-coding RNA of Oryza brachyantha (malo sina), 768 nucleotides long. RefSeq lists it as uncharacterized. The record is from RefSeq and is a predicted model, not a curated record. NCBI's taxonomy places the organism in Eukaryota, Viridiplantae, Streptophyta, Magnoliopsida, Poales, Poaceae. The transcript is spliced from 5 exons.